RNAcentral lists this ribosomal RNA (252 nucleotides) under uncultured bacterium. Its description in RNAcentral is "partial 16S ribosomal RNA". It matches the Rfam family "Bacterial small subunit ribosomal RNA", at positions 524 to 776 of the family's 1533-position model. RNAcentral also lists the same sequence under 1 other name. The record is from RNAcentral.
UACGUAGGUCCCGAGCGUUGUCCGGAUUUAUUGGGCGUAAAGCGAGCGCAGGUGGUUUAUUAAGUCUGGUGUAAAAGGCAGUGGCUCAACCAUUGUAUGCAUUGGAAACUGGUAGACUUGAGUGCAGGAGAGGAGAGUGGAAUUCCAUGUGUAGCGGUGAAAUGCGUAGAUAUAUGGAGGAACACCGGUGGCGAAAGCGGCUCUCUGGCCUGUGACUGACACUGAGGCUCGAAAGCGUGGGGAGCAAACAGG